CUCCUAAUAUUGCAAUAUUGAAAUAAAGACCUUACUCAGGUUAGAACUCUCUUUUGUGGCCUCCUUGACAGGUAUAUUUCCAUGACAAUUUUGGGGGCUCGUCCGGGAUCACAAACCUGAGCGCGGAAGGCUGCGGAAACUCCAUCCGGACCCGGACAAUUUUAGCAAAUUGGACGGACCUCGGGGGAUAAACUGUUUAUCCUUCCAGAGACACAUCUGGAGAAUUCACGGCUGUUUGACGUCAGACAGUCUUAGCACAGAGCAAGAGGCUUCCAAGUCAGACCAUGGAUCAGCCCAGUCCAAGUUUAAGGACAUCAAGGAACUAGCCAAUGGAUUGUUGAGUAUUUCUACUGUAGUGGUUCAGGCCAAUGACCUCACCACCCACCAAGUGAAAGCAGCCUGGGGAAAGACCAUUCCUGGAGGUCAUGACUUGAGAGAUUGUGGAUUAAAAAGAUACCAUCCCAGAUGCUUCAGCCUAAGUGGGAGGGGCCGUACCAAGUGCUGCUGACCACAGACUCCGCUGUGAAAGUCCAAGGGAAGAACCGGUGGAUUCACGCCUCUUUCUGUCGAUGUGCCCAACCCCCGGUGGAAAAGGAAAAGUCUGCAACAUGAAGACUAUUCCUAUUUUGUUUUCUGUUAUCAGAUUGUGUAUCUGUAUCCAAAAUGAACAUGAACACCAGUCCCGUAAAGGUGAACAUGGAGUUAAUACCUUUUUGGCCCGGUCUUAUCUGACAGCUGAAAAGACAAACUAGAGCGCCUGUUGGGUAUGCACUGCAGUACCAAGAUGUGUGCAAGGGGGGCUCCCCAUGGGGGCUGUCCCGUGGCGCCUUGAAGAAGUUAUAGGCAUGAUCAUAUUGAGAGAACGUACAGGGGAUUUUAACAUGACUGAGUAUGGCGGCUGUAACGAUACUACUGUAAACUGCACCACGCUGCAGUAUUGUAAGGAACGGGGGCUAGAACCCACCAAUUUGCUGGGUCUUAUGGCCCACAAUACAACCUAAGUCAGAAUCUCCCAUAUAUCACCCUAAACGAUAAGCAGAGGGGGGGAUUUGUUUUGAGAACCAUGAAGGUCACUGUAUAAUGGGUUGGAGUAAAUGCAAUCUCACCUCCUAUAUUGGUCUCUCAAAUUCUACUCUUCAGAUCCCUGGGUGGGAUAAGAGCAGUCCUAAGUUUAGUGCAGCUUUCUUGUUUUCUGCUGGAUUAGGAGUGCCUAAUGGAAUGUAUUUUAUUUGUGGGAACGUGCAUACCCAUGGUAACCGACUAAUUGGGGUGGAUCAUGUUAUUUAGGAUAUGUAGCUCACCAUGUCCGGGUUCAGCUUCACAGUCCUUUUGGACCCAACCACAGACCUCGAAGGAAAGUGUCAGACUGGGAAUACCUAGGUAUAGUGCUUCCUGGAGCCGGUAUUAGUUUCUUAAACAGAGAACUAGUACAAAUGGCUUCCACCCUGGAAGAGCUGGCAAAUGUUACCUUCUCCGGACUAAAAGCAAUGCAUGACAAAAUGGUAGCACUAAGGAUAGUAGCAAUGCAAAAUAGGUUAGCAUUGGACUACUUGUUAGCCUCUCAAGGCGGCACUUGUGGAGUAAUUGGUGCAGAGUGCUGUACUUAUUUACCAGAUAACUCUGAGCAUAUCUCAGAGUUGGCCAGAAAUAUCAUAGCUAUUAUCAAGAAAGUGAACUUACAGUAUGGCUGAGGUCUGUGUUUGGGGCCUGGGGUGGAGCUAUGGUUCAAUAUUUGUUUUUAGGAGUAGUGUUGUUUGUAUGUAUAAUUGUUAUAAUCACAUGUAUUAAAAGUAUAAUCACUGCUAUAUGUCACCACAUCACCUCCAGUAGUAAUGUUAGGAUAGUACACAAGUAUGAAGUAAAGACAGCAGACUCCGCAUUUGUGUAGAAAAUGGAAGAUGUAUGUUUCUAUUUUCCAAGGGGGGAUUGAUGGAGCCUGCUAACAGCUUUUACAUGCUGAACUGUAACCAUCAUGCCUGCUUGAUCACAGAGGCUUCCCCCCCUGUACUUACCCCAAAAUAGUGAAUGUUUACCCAAAUGGUGAAUGUUUACACUAAACUCCUUAUGACAAAGGUUUCUAUUUCCUUCGGUUACAUCAAAGACAGGAGGGGGGGAGGAUGUAUAUUUAAGUUCUGUAGGACCAUAUCCCCUUGGAGCUACGAUAGGUACUAUAACUAUUAUGGUCCUUAUUUGUACGCAUUGCAGAGCACAAACAGACAUACACACAAUAACACCUGUGCCAAAAAAUAAGAACAAAAGAAAAGGUUAAAAAUAAGCAGAGGGCAUUUUACAAUCUAGCUAGUUUGAUUCUGAGCUUUCCUUCCAGCUAAUUCUGUAGUAAAGUCAAACUGCAAUAUCGGCAUGGAGGAGGCCAGGGUAUUAUCUUCAACAACAUGGCUAGAUAACUUGUUCCACGGCCUGACAACACAGACAAAAAAAAUGUCUGCUGCUCUCAGUUUUAAAUGUAGUGACAUGUACAGAUGCAGCCAUUCAAA
Molecule: long non-coding RNA, 2495 nt
Organism: Lepisosteus oculatus (spotted gar)
Lineage: Eukaryota; Metazoa; Chordata; Actinopteri; Semionotiformes; Lepisosteidae
Source: RefSeq, a predicted model, not a curated record